RNAcentral lists this ribosomal RNA (279 nucleotides) under uncultured Mogibacterium sp. RNAcentral describes it as "partial 16S ribosomal RNA". It matches the Rfam family "Bacterial small subunit ribosomal RNA", at positions 28 to 304 of the family's 1533-position model. The record is from RNAcentral. Lineage: Bacteria; Bacillati; Bacillota; Clostridia; Peptostreptococcales; Anaerovoracaceae.
GACGAACGCUGGCGGCGUGCUUAACACAUGCAAGUCGAACGCUGAAGCCUGGCUUUUGUUGGGUGGAUGAGUGGCGAACGGGUGAGUAACACGUGAGUAACCUGCCCCCUUCUUUGGGAUAACGCCCGGAAACGGGUGCUAAUACUGGAUAUUCACUGGCCUUCGCAUGGGGGUUGGUGGAAAGGGUUUUCUGGUGGGGGAUGUGCUCCCCGCCUAUAAGCAUGUGGGUGGGAUAAUGCACUACCAAGGGUAUUGGCGCGGCUGGUGGCAGAUAGCUAG